RNAcentral lists this transfer RNA (70 nucleotides) under Camelus bactrianus (Bactrian camel). It matches the Rfam family "tRNA". Rfam says of the family: Transfer RNA (tRNA) molecules are approximately 80 nucleotides in length. Their secondary structure includes four short double-helical elements and three loops (D, anti-codon, and T loops). The record is from Rfam by way of RNAcentral. RNAcentral also lists the same sequence under 2 other names. Lineage: Eukaryota; Metazoa; Chordata; Mammalia; Artiodactyla; Camelidae.
GGGUAUAGCUCAGUGGUAGAGUGUGUGCUUAGCAUGCACGAGGUCCUGGGUUCAAUCCCCAGUACCUCCA